UCAGAACUCACCCGACUUGAUCCUUAAACACAGAUAGUCGAAACCUGUCAAAUGAGAUCGCGGACUUUGCUCUCACGGCUGGCACACAUAAAAACGAACCCACACGGCGAGAUCACCGAGCUCCCUGAUGGCGAACCAAGAGGCGGCUGUUCUUCCCUCCACAAGCCUCAUGGAGUCCUGACUCGGAAAUGAAGACGACCGCGAGGGCUCCAGACACGACAAAGAAGUAUACGGUCCCAAAGCUGGAUGCCACUUAGUGAAGUGAUACCCAUGUAGAGAAAGAUCCCAAACAGAGCUGUCAUAGGAAUCAUCUUCAGGAUGGGCUCCAUUAGAAUCGAGACCCCUGUGGAUAAAAGGCUUGGAACUCACCAACCAUCACGGCCACCAAAAUACCACUGACUCUUUGUUCUAUCACGCGUUCAAUCUGAGGUCUGGGGCCUUUGGUCAUGACAGUCAGGGCAUUGGCAUGUGUGACAGAUCUCACAGUGGCAGCACUGAGCCAGGGGACACCAAAGAUAGAGGCAGCUCCUCCCAAGAACACCAAAAGGAGGAGGUCCAGAUGGAAACCAGAGCCCUUGACCAUUUUUCUCUCAGGCUUACUCACGAUCAGCCUGGAUGUGAUCUGGGACUCAAGGAAAAUAAGGAUGAAGACCAACAAGGCAGGAACAGCACAGGCGAACAUCAUCCAGACAGGGAAUAGCUUCUUCUCACCAAAUGGGUUGAUGAGCCAGCCUCUAGCAGAUGUGUUGG
Molecule: long non-coding RNA, 750 nt
Organism: Carassius carassius (crucian carp)
Lineage: Eukaryota; Metazoa; Chordata; Actinopteri; Cypriniformes; Cyprinidae
Exons: 4
Source: RefSeq, a predicted model, not a curated record